This 433-nucleotide ribosomal RNA is filed under the name uncultured bacterium. RNAcentral's name for it is "partial 16S ribosomal RNA". It matches the Rfam family "Bacterial small subunit ribosomal RNA", at positions 29 to 507 of the family's 1533-position model. The record is from RNAcentral.
AACGAACGCUGGCGGCAUGCCUAACACAUGCAAGUCGAACGAGACCUUCGGGUCUAGUGGCGCACGGGUGCGUAACGCGUGGGAACCUGCCCUUAGGUUCGGAAUAACUCCCCGAAAGGGGUGCUAAUACCGGAUAAUGUCUUCGGACCAAAGAUUUAUCGCCUUUGGAUGGGCCCGCGUUGGAUUAGCUAGUUGGUAGGGUAAAAGCCUACCAAGGCGACGAUCCAUAGCUGGUCUGAGAGGAUGCUCAGCCACACUGGGACUGAGACACGGCCCAGACUCCUACGGGAGGCAGCAGUGGGGAAUAUUGGACAAUGGGCGAAAGCCUGAUACAGCAAUGCCGCGGGAGUGAUGAAGGCCUUAGGGUUGUAAAGCUCUUUUACCCGGGAUGAGAAUGACAGUACCGGGAGAAUAAGCACCGGCUAACUCCGUG